This 831-nucleotide long non-coding RNA is filed under the name Erythranthe guttata (spotted monkey flower). RNAcentral describes it as "long non-coding RNA (EGUT_LNC001422)". Lineage: Eukaryota; Viridiplantae; Streptophyta; Magnoliopsida; Lamiales; Phrymaceae. The record is from RNAcentral.
AAAAACAAGCCUUCCAAUCAUCAUCCUCCAUUUGGCCUUGUUGGGAAUGGGUAGAUAAGUGAAGACGUUGUGUUUUUGUCUUCAUUUUCACUUGUCUUCUUCCAGAAACGACCAGACCAAUUUACUUAAGCUUCUCUUCAUAUUUCUUCACUUCCAUACUCACAUAAGAGAACAUCAAACUAUAAAAACUCAUAGAAGUAGAGCUAGAACAAGUUCUGCACCUUCUCUAGCUGAAAAUCCUACGUUUUGAAGUUUGAAUUCAUCUCUAAUCAAGGACUCUAGAACAACCUAUAUGAGAAUGAUCUUUUCACUUCAUACACCAUAUUGAACUUGAGGUAAGUUGAAGCAUUCAUUUGCUCAUCAUAAGAACCUAAUUAUGUGUGCUUUAAUGUGACUUUUGCUACGUUUUCUUCACCAUGUUUGAAUGAUUGAUGAGUCAUAGGGAUAUGAAAGAAUAUGUUUUAGAAAAUGGGAGUAUGGUACUUGAUUGAUGGUCGGGUAGGCAAGGGACGCGGGAGGGACCGGCGGACCCAACACAUGGUGGCAAAUACCUGAGGUUGAAAGACUAGUAUGGAAAACACACAAUUAAUGAAAUAAAAUACGGCUAAAACCUGAGGUCGAAAGGCCGGUAUUGAAACCCCGUAUUAUCUAUUGGCCAAAUAUGAUGAACAGGUUCCGAAAACCAAAGCCUAUUGCUAUCAGUCAAGUACCAACCUUCAAGGGUACCCGAAAAAGAGAAGGAUUUCAAAAGAAAAGAUCAUGAAUGAAGUUAUAUGUGAUAUUGUGUAUGUUGAGAGAAUAACGUGUUAUGUGAUAUAUUGCUAUUACAUC